CUUGCUUCUCUUGAGAGCGGCGGACGGGUGAGUAAUGCCUAGGAAUCUGCCUAGUGGUGGGGGAUAACGUUCGGAAACGGACGCUAAUACCGCAUACGUCCUACGGGAGAAAGCGGGGGACCUUCGGGCCUCGCGCCAUUAGAUGAGCCUAGGUCGGAUUAGCUAGUUGGUGAGGUAAUGGCUCACCAAGGCUACGAUCCGUAACUGGUCUGAGAGGAUGAUCAGUCACACUGGAACUGAGACACGGUCCAGACUCCUACGGGAGGCAGCAGUGGGGAAUAUUGGACAAUGGGCGAAAGCCUGAUCCAGCCAUGCCGCGUGUGUGAAGAAGGUCUUCGGAUUGUAAAGCACUUUAAGUUGGGAGGAAGGGUAGUAACUUAAUACGUUGCUACUUUGACGUUACCGACAGAAUAAGCACCGGCUAACUUCGUGCCAGCAGCCGCGGUAAUACGAAGGGUGCAAGCGUUAAUCGGAAUUACU
Molecule: ribosomal RNA, 480 nt
Filed under: Pseudomonadales bacterium HD-OI-03-6
Lineage: Bacteria; Pseudomonadati; Pseudomonadota; Gammaproteobacteria; Pseudomonadales
Description: bacterial SSU rRNA
Rfam family: Bacterial small subunit ribosomal RNA
Source: RNAcentral